Molecule: microRNA precursor, 60 nt
Filed under: Panagrellus redivivus
Lineage: Eukaryota; Metazoa; Nematoda; Chromadorea; Rhabditida; Panagrolaimidae
Description: microRNA prd-mir-7895 precursor
Source: miRBase by way of RNAcentral
UCGCUGUUGGAUGAAUGAAUCGUGUUACAUUUAAUUCUCGAUUCAUCAACCAACAGCGGC